GACGAACGCUGGCGGCGUGCUUAACACAUGCAAGUCGAACGGAAAGGCCCUGCUUUUGUGGGGUGCUCGAGUGGCGAACGGGUGAGUAACACGUGAGUAACCUGCCCUUGACUCUGGGAUAACUUCAGGAAACUGGGGCUAAUACCGGAUAGGAGCUCCUGCUGCAUGGUGGGGGUUGGAAAGUUUCGGCGGUUGGGGAUGGGCUCGCGGCUUAUCAGCUUGUUGGUGGGGUAGUGGCUUACCAAGGCUUUGACGGGUAGCCGGCCUGAGAGGGUGACCGGCCACAUUGGGACUGAGAUACGGCCCAGACUCCUACGGGAGGCAGCAGUGGGGAAUAUUGCACAAUGGGCGGAAGCCUGAUGCAGCAACGCCGCGUGCGGGAUGACGGCCUUCGGGUUGUAAACCGCUUUCGCCUGUGACGAAGCGUGAGUGACGGUAAUGGGUGAAGAAGCACCGGCUAACUACGUG
This 468-nucleotide ribosomal RNA is filed under the name uncultured bacterium. RNAcentral's name for it is "partial 16S ribosomal RNA". It matches the Rfam family "Bacterial small subunit ribosomal RNA", at positions 28 to 507 of the family's 1533-position model. The record is from RNAcentral.